Suricata suricatta (meerkat) is the source of this 399-nucleotide long non-coding RNA. RefSeq lists it as uncharacterized. The transcript has 2 exons. NCBI's taxonomy places the organism in Eukaryota, Metazoa, Chordata, Mammalia, Carnivora, Herpestidae. The record is from RefSeq and is a predicted model, not a curated record.
UGCCCAGUGCUUCCAGUUCUUUCCGGGAGCAAACCAGGGUCACGGGGGAGGGGACCUCCUACCCCACCUCCACAGCCAGAACCCCGUCCUCAGGGAGAGUCUGAAGCACCAGCUCUCCGCAUUGUUCCAAGGGGAAACUGAGGCUCCUCAAGGGACGGUGACUCGGCCAAGGCUGCCCGGACACGCCCGACCCCCUGGCCUGAGGCCUGCCUCCGGCCCCUGCCUGCGGCUCCGACGUCCCCCCACCCGUCCCCAGGACCUGCCUGGCAAAAACCAAAUCACGGCCGCCUGAAAGUCGACAUCGGAAUUACUGCCGAGCCCUUGACUCGGGGUAAUUAAGAGCAUUUUGGGACGCCUUGGUUGAUUAAAAGCAGAUCAUCCGUUCAGAAUGAAAAUUCA